AGGUCACUGCUAUCGGUGUCCGGAUUAAGCCAUGAGAGUCGUGAGGGGUAAAGCCCCUCGGCAUACUGCUCAGUAACACGUGGAUAAUCUACCCAAAGGUCUGGGAUAACCCCGGGAAACUGGGGAUAAACCCGGAUAGGCCAAUACGUCUGGAAUGUGUGUUGGCUGAAAGGCAUACGCGUUUGGAUGGGUCUGCGGCGGAUUAGGUAGACGCCGGUGUAACGUACCGGCGUCCCUGUAAUCCGUACGGGUUGUGGGAGCAAGAGCCCGGAGAUGGAUUCUGAGACACGAAUCCAGGCCCUACGGGGCGCAGCAGGCGCGAAAACUCUACAAUGCAGGCAACUGCGAUAGGGGGACAUCGAGUGGCACCCACCUUGGGUGUCUGUCCAACCGUCUAAAAAACGGUUGUUAGCAAGGGCCGGGUAAGACCGGUGCCAGCCGCCGCGGUAAUACCGGCGGCUCGAGUGGUGGCCGAUAUUAUUGAGUCUAAAGGGUCCGUAGCCGGCUUUGCAAGUCCUCUGGGAAAUCCAGCGGCUUAACCGUUGGGCUUCCAUGGGAAACUACAUUGCUUGGGACUGGGAGAGGUAGGAGGUACUCGAGGGGUAGGGGUGAAAUCCUGUAAUCCUUCGGGGACCACCGGUGGCGAAGGCGCCCUACCAGAACAGGUCCGACGGUGAGGGACGAAAGCUAGGGGCACGAACCGGAUUAGAUACCCGGGUAGUCCUAGCCGUAAACGAUGCCCGCUAGGUGUCACGGCGGUCGUGAAUCGCCGUGGUGCCGUAGGGAAGCCGCGAAGCGGGCCACUUGGGAAGUACGGCCGCAAGGCUGAAACUUAA
This 836-nucleotide ribosomal RNA is filed under the name uncultured soil archaeon. RNAcentral describes it as "bacterial SSU rRNA". It matches the Rfam family "Archaeal small subunit ribosomal RNA", at positions 21 to 859 of the family's 1478-position model. The record is from RNAcentral.